GUGAGGAAUUUUCCGCAAUGGGCGAAAGCCUGACGGAGCAAUGCCGCGUGAAGGAUGAAGGCCUAUGGGUUGUAAACUUCUUUUCUCAGAAAAGAAUUAUGACGGUAUCUGAGGAAUAAGCAUCGGCUAACUCUGUGCCAGCAGCCGCGGUAAGACAGAGGAUGCAAGCGUUAUCCGGAAUGAUUGGGCGUAAAGCGUCUGUAGGUUGUUUAAAAAGUAUUCUGUCAAAGAUUAGGGCUUAACCCUAGAUAGGCAGAAUAAACUUUUAAGCUAGAGUUUGGUAGAGGCAGAGGGAAUUCCCGGUGGUGCGGUGAAAUGCGUAGAUAUCGGGAGGAACACCAAAGGCGAAGGCACUCUGCUGGGCCAAUACUAACACUGAGAGACGAAAGCGAGGGGAGCAAAUGGGAUUAGAAACCCCGGUAGUCC
RNAcentral lists this ribosomal RNA (426 nucleotides) under uncultured bacterium. RNAcentral's name for it is "bacterial SSU rRNA". It matches the Rfam family "Bacterial small subunit ribosomal RNA", at positions 354 to 796 of the family's 1533-position model. The record is from RNAcentral.